Molecule: unclassified non-coding RNA, 205 nt
Filed under: fungal sp.
Lineage: Eukaryota; Fungi
Also listed under: 1 other name
Description: partial internal transcribed spacer region
Rfam family: Eukaryotic small subunit ribosomal RNA (bases 1-46)
Source: RNAcentral
AAGUCGUAACAAGGUUUCCGUAGGUGAACCUGCGGAAGGAUCAUUACCACAUCCAAAAUCUUACAAACCCACAAGUGUGAAGUUGUGAUGAGGAACUUUCUUCAUUUUUUUUUUGAACCCCUUUUGAACUUUUUACCAAGAGAAUAAGCAAGACUAAAAAUGAGAAAAGAGAAAACAACUUUUAACGGUGGAUCUCUUGGCUCGU